CUUUGUGACAUACCUAUAACUGUUGCUUCGGCGGGUAGGGUCUCCGUGACCCUCCCGGCCUCCCGCCCCCGGGCGGGUCGGCGCCCGCCGGAGGAUAACCAAACUCUGAUUUAACGACGUUUCUUCUGAGUGGUACAAGCAAAUAAUCAAAACUUUUAACAACGGAUCUCUUGGUUCUGGCAUCGAUGAAGAACGCAGCGAAAUGCGAUAAGUAAUGUGAAUUGCAGAAUUCAGUGAAUCAUCGAAUCUUUGAACGCACAUUGCGCCCGCCAGCAUUCUGGCGGGCAUGCCUGUUCGAGCGUCAUUUCAACCCUCAAGCUCUGCUUGGUGUUGGGGCCCUACAGCUGAUGUAGGCCCUCAAAGGUAGUGGCGGACCCUCCCGGAGCCUCCUUUGCGUAGUAACUUUACGUCUCGCACUGGGAUCCGGAGGGACUCUUGCCGUAAAACCCCCAAUUUUCCAAAGGUUGACCUCGGAUCAGGUAGGAAUACCCGCUGAACUUAAGCAUAUCAAUAAGCGGAGGAA
RNAcentral lists this ribosomal RNA (523 nucleotides) under Colletotrichum gloeosporioides. RNAcentral describes it as "eukaryotic LSU rRNA". The stretch from base 151 to 304 matches the Rfam family "5.8S ribosomal RNA". The record is from RNAcentral. Lineage: Eukaryota; Fungi; Ascomycota; Sordariomycetes; Glomerellales; Glomerellaceae.